RNAcentral lists this ribosomal RNA (926 nucleotides) under uncultured bacterium. Its description in RNAcentral is "bacterial SSU rRNA". It matches the Rfam family "Bacterial small subunit ribosomal RNA", at positions 8 to 916 of the family's 1533-position model. The record is from RNAcentral.
AGAGUUUGAUCCUGGCUCAGGACGAACGCUGGCGGCGUGCCUAAUACAUGCAAGUCGAGCGAAUGGAUGGGAGCUUGCUCCCUGACAUUAGCGGCGGACGGGUGAGUAACACGUGGGCAACCUGCCUGUAAGACUGGGAUAACUUCGGGAAACCGGAGCUAAUACCGGAUACGUUCUUUUCUCGCAUGAGAGAAGAUGGAAAGACGGUCUCGGCUGUCACUUACAGAUGGGCCCGCGGCGCAUUAGCUAGUUGGUGAGGUAACGGCUCACCAAGGCCACGAUGCGUAGCCGACCUGAGAGGGUGAUCGGCCACACUGGGACUGAGACACGGCCCAGACUCCUACGGGAGGCAGCAGUAGGGAAGCUUCCGCAAUGGACGAAAGUCUGACGGAGCAACGCCGCGUGAACGAUGAAGGCCUUCGGGUCGUAAAGUUCUGUUGUUAGGGAAGAACAAGUACCAGAGUAACUGCUGGUACCUUGACGGUACCUAACCAGAAAGCCACGGCUAACUACGUGCCAGCAGCCGCGGUAAUACGUAGGUGGCAAGCGUUGUCCGGAAUUAUUGGGCGUAAAGCGCGCGCAGGCGGUUUCUUAAGUCUGAUGUGAAAGCCCACGGCUCAACCGUGGAGGGUCAUUGGAAACUGGGGAACUUGAGUGCAGAAGAGGAGAGCGGAAUUCCACGUGUAGCGGUGAAAUGCGUAGAGAUGUGGAGGAACACCAGUGGCGAAGGCGGCUCUCUGGUCUGUAACUGACGCUGAGGCGCGAAAGCGCGGGGAGCAAACAGGAUUAGAUACCCUGGUAGUCCACGCCGUAAACGAUGAGUGCUAAGUGUUAGAGGGUUUCCGCCCUUUAGUGCUGCAGCAAACGCAUUAAGCACUCCGCCUGGGGAGUACGGUCGCAAGACUGAAACUUAAAGGAAUUGACGG